CCUACGGGUGGCAGCAGUGAGGAAUAUUGGUCAAUGGCCGAGAGGCUGAACCAGCCAAGUCGCGUGAGGGAAGACGGCCCUACGGGUUGUAAACCUCUUUUGUCGGGGAGCAAAGCGAACCACGUGGGGUUCAUUGAGAGUACCCGAAGACAAAGCAUCGGCCAACUCCGAGCCAGCAGCCGCGGUAAUACGGAGGAUGCGAGCGUUAUCCGGAUUUAUUGGGUUUAAAGGGUGCGCAGGCGGAGGUGCAAGUCAGCGGUAAAAUUGCGGGGCUCAACCCCGUACUGCCGUUGAAACUGCAUCCCUUGAGUGCGAGAGAAGUAUGCGGAAUGCGUGGUGUAGCGGUGAAAUGCAUAGAUAUCACGCAGAACUCCGAUUGCGAAGGCAGCAUACCGGCGCGCAACUGACGCUCAUGCACGAAAGCGUGGGUAUCGAACAGGAUUAGAUACCCUAGUAGUC
RNAcentral lists this ribosomal RNA (459 nucleotides) under uncultured bacterium. RNAcentral's name for it is "partial 16S ribosomal RNA". It matches the Rfam family "Bacterial small subunit ribosomal RNA", at positions 338 to 795 of the family's 1533-position model. The record is from RNAcentral.